AUGCAGGGGAAAGGAGGACAUGAGAAUACACAAUUUGGAUUCCGUGGUGUAAGGCAAUGUACUUGGGGGAAGCGGGUUGCUGAAAUUCAGGAGCCAAAUCGGGUGAGCAGACUCUGGUUGGGAACGUUCCCCACUGCUGAGGAUGAUGCCCGUGCUUAUGACGAGGCAGCCAGAGCAAUGUAUGGCACACUGGCUCGUACCAACUUCCCUGCUCUACCAGCGGCAACUGAAGGUGUUGUACGUGGUGCUUCAGCAUCAUGCGAGCCUACUACAACAUCCACCAACCACUAG
This 291-nucleotide ribosomal RNA is filed under the name Triticum aestivum (bread wheat). RNAcentral's name for it is "partial small subunit ribosomal RNA". Lineage: Eukaryota; Viridiplantae; Streptophyta; Magnoliopsida; Poales; Poaceae. The record is from RNAcentral.